This 301-nucleotide ribosomal RNA is filed under the name uncultured bacterium. RNAcentral's name for it is "partial 16S ribosomal RNA". It matches the Rfam family "Bacterial small subunit ribosomal RNA", at positions 509 to 807 of the family's 1533-position model. The record is from RNAcentral.
CAGUAGCCGCGGGAAUACGUAGGGUGCAAGCGUUAAUCGGAAUUACUGGGCGUAAAGCGUGCGCAGGCGGUUAUAUAAGACAGAUGUGAAAUCCCCGGGCUCAACCUGGGAACUGCAUUUGUGACUGUAUAGCUAGAGUACGGCAGAGGGGGAUGGAAUUCCGCGUGUAGCAGUGAAAUGCGUAGAUAUGCGGAGGAACACCGAUGGCGAAGGCAAUCCCCUGGGCCUGUACUGACGCUCAUGCACGAAAGCGUGGGGAGCAAACAGGAUUAGAGACCCGCGUAGUCCCUGUCUCUUAUAC